RNAcentral lists this long non-coding RNA (739 nucleotides) under Ananas comosus (pineapple). RNAcentral describes it as "long non-coding RNA (ACOM_LNC008706)". Lineage: Eukaryota; Viridiplantae; Streptophyta; Magnoliopsida; Poales; Bromeliaceae. The record is from RNAcentral.
UAGAAGCACUAACCCCUUGGUGCUUCUAAGUUUCUAGCCCUUAGAUCUACUCCUUGAUUACUAAUAGUUUUUGGGUCAAACACUAUUCCACCUACCACCACCUAUCACCACCUACCACCAUCAUCUCAACCUCACAUCUCUCCAUCCAAUGGUUAAAAACUCAAAAGCACCACCUUCAUGGUGUUUUUGAGAGUAUUCUAGCUCAACUCUAUAUAUAUAUGCUACUGUCGCUGAUACUAAUUGUGGAAAGGGAGUCGCGAGCUAGAUCCCUUCCAGUCUUGUUGCUGUUCUAGAGGAGUACCAGCUACAUGUAGUUUUGAUUUUUGGGUCAUGUACAUACUAAUGUUGGAUACUCGCUGGAGCGAGUGAUGUGUAUCCUGGAGAUUAUUUAUAUUUGUUUACAGUUCUGUUAGUAGCUCUAUACUCCUAGUUGUAGUUUUGUAUGAUUACAGGUACAAUUAUAGCUAUCGCUUCGUAUAUAGAGGAAAUUCUUUUGUAUAUGGCGGGUCUGUUGGCGUGCCCGGAAAAACGUGGUAAUUCGGGACGUGACAGAUUAAGUUGGUAUCAGAGCUUAGAAUUAGAUCUUUGGGACCUAGAAACCUUAAGCUUGGCAAAUCUUAUGAAGGUAAGACGCGAGAGGCGUGAUUUAUCGCGAAAGUCAGUGAUUGAAUUAUUUAAACUCAUCCUAGAGUGGAGUGAGUGACUGAAGGAGUGUCUGUUUCGGCCAAGAAAAUUAUGU